Molecule: long non-coding RNA, 113 nt
Organism: Ipomoea nil (Japanese morning glory)
Lineage: Eukaryota; Viridiplantae; Streptophyta; Magnoliopsida; Solanales; Convolvulaceae
Exons: 3
Source: RefSeq, a predicted model, not a curated record
UAGUUUAGCCUGGAACAUGUGUUUGAAAAGUAGGAAAAUGGCUUCUGGAAAAUGGUUUUCGGAAAAUGAGUCAUUUUCUAGAAAACAAUUUCUUUUCUAGUGUUUGGUUGCAA